AUGCUGGAGUUUUAUGCGUAUCGCAUACAACAACGUCUGAACCAAGCUUCAACAUUGCAAAUGAGUGGACGUUUGUUCCUGCAGUUCUUAGUUGAUGCAGCAAUGUGCAUUGAACAGUGGAGACUAAAUUGGUACAGGACAAACCAAGGUAAGUUGAGGACAGAACUGUACAGAGGACUGCAUGAUGCAAUAGAAAAUGGAGAUACACGAACCGAACAAGUUGGACAAAGAAUCAUACUACCCUCAUCAUAUAAUGGCAGUCCAAGAAAUAAGCAGCAAAACUACCAAGAUGCCAUGGCGACUUGUCGUUGGGCUGGCUAUCUUGAUCUCUUCACUACUUUUACAUUCAAUCCAAAAUGGCUGGAAAUACAGGAUAUGUUGGAUCUGAUUCCAGGCCAGAAACCCGAGGAUCGUCCAGAUAUUGUUGCCAGAGUAUUCAUGUUAAAACUGAAGGAACUUAUGAAUGACAUAAAGAAUGGAAAGUGUUUUGGACAAACAAUUGCAAUUGUCUACACUAUAGAGUUCCAGAAAAGAGGCCUCCCGCAUGCACACAUACUGGUGUUUCUACACCCAGAUGAUAAAGAUCCAAGUCCUUCCCAGAUCGACAAAAUCAUAUCAGCCGAAAUUCCUGAUAAGAAUAGUGAUCCAGAAGGGUACGAAGCAGUGCAAAAUUACAUGAUACAUGGUCCAUGUGGUCAAGCACACCCCAAAUCACCAUGCAUGGUCGAUAAAAGUUGUGCCAAACAUUUCCCCAAGAAUUUUUGCACUGAGACUACCAUAGAUGAAGAUAACUAUCCAGUAUAUAGAAGGCGAGAUGAUGGCAACACUGUGGACAAAAAUGGAGUGAAGCUAGACAAUAGAUUUGUUGUGCCAUACAAUAGAAACCUACUGGUCAAGUAUCAAGCCCACAUAAAUGUUGAAUGGUGCAACAGAUCAAGGUCUAUAAAGUAUUUAUUCAAAUACAUCCACAAAGGAGAAGAUCGAACAACCGUCUUGAUAGAAGCGGAAGACCAACAAAGUGAAACAAGAGCUAGCAAAUUAACAAACAGGGACGACGAAAUCAAGAGGUACCUUGAUGCCCGGUACAUAUCUGGAUGUGAAGCCGCAUGGCGCAUAUUUCAGUUUCCUCUUCAGUACAGAGAGCCUGCGGUUGAAAGGUUACAAUUUCACCUAGAAAAUGAACAUGUCGUGGUGUUCCCGGACUCAAUGGAUUUAGAUCAAAUUGUAUCCCGGCCUAACAUAGAAAAGACAAUGUUCACAGAAUGGAUGACAGCCAACCAGUUGCAUGAAGAAGCUCGCAGUUUGACGUAUGCACAGUUUCCAACAAAAUGGACUUGGCAUGCACAAGAGAAAGAAUGGACGAAAAGGCGUGGUGAAAAAAAAACAUAG
RNAcentral lists this ribosomal RNA (1389 nucleotides) under Triticum aestivum (bread wheat). Its description in RNAcentral is "partial small subunit ribosomal RNA". The record is from RNAcentral. Lineage: Eukaryota; Viridiplantae; Streptophyta; Magnoliopsida; Poales; Poaceae.